This 253-nucleotide ribosomal RNA is filed under the name uncultured bacterium. RNAcentral's name for it is "partial 16S ribosomal RNA". It matches the Rfam family "Bacterial small subunit ribosomal RNA", at positions 524 to 776 of the family's 1533-position model. The record is from RNAcentral.
UACGUAGGGUGCGAGCGUUAAUCGGAAUUACUGGGCGUAAAGCGUGCGCAGGCGGUGAUGUAAGACCGAUGUGAAAUCCCCGGGCUUAACCUGGGAACUGCAUUGGUGACUGCAUUGCUGGAGUAUGGCAGAGGGGGGUGGAAUUCCACGUGUAGCAGUGAAAUGCGUAGAGAUGUGGGGGAACACCGAUGGCGAAGGCAGCCCCCUGGGCCAAUACUGACGCUCAUGCACGAAAGCGUGGGGAGCAAACAGG